AGCUCCAUUAGCGUAUAUUAAAGUUGUUGCAGUUAAAAAGCUCGUAGUUGGAUUUCAGUACGGGCCAGUUGGUCGGCCGCAAGGCCUGUUACUGGCUGGUCUGUUCUUCUUGUCAAAGACUGCGUGUGCUCUUCGUUGAGUGUGCGUAGGAUUUGGGACGUUUACUUUGAAAAAAUUAGAGUGUUCAAAGCAGGCUUUCGCUUGAAUACAUUAGCAUGGAAUAACAUGAUAGGACUCCGAUCCCAUUGUGUUGGUCUUCGGGACUGGAGUAAUGAUUAAGAGGGACAGUUGGGGGCAUUCGUAUUUCAUUGUCAGAGGUGAAAUUCUUGGAUUUAUGAAAGACGAACUUCUGCGAAAGCAUUUGCCAAGGAUGUUUUCAUUAAUCAAGAACGAAAGUAGG
RNAcentral lists this ribosomal RNA (400 nucleotides) under phytoplankton environmental sample. RNAcentral's name for it is "partial small subunit ribosomal RNA". It matches the Rfam family "Eukaryotic small subunit ribosomal RNA", at positions 587 to 993 of the family's 1831-position model. The record is from RNAcentral.